AUAAGCGCUGGAAACGGCGUCUAAUACUGGAUACGAACCGCGAAGGCAUCUUCAGCGGUUGGAAAGAUUUUUUGGUUGGGGAUGGGCUCGCGGCCUAUCAGCUUGUUGGUGAGGUAAUGGCUCACCAAGGCGUCGACGGGUAGCCGGCCUGAGAGGGUGACCGGCCACACUGGGACUGAGACACGGCCCAGACUCCUACGGGAGGCAGCAGUGGGGAAUAUUGCACAAUGGGCGGAAGCCUGAUGCAGCAACGCCGCGUGAGGGAUGACGGCCUUCGGGUUGUAAACCUCUUUUAGCAGGGAAGAAGCGAAAGUGACGGUACCUGCAGAAAAAGCGCCGGCUAACUACGUGCCAGCAGCCGCGGUAAUACGUAGGGCGCAAGCGUUAUCCGGAAUUAUUGGGCGUAAAGAGCUCGUAGGCGGUUUGUCGCGUCUGCUGUGAAAUCCCGAGGCUCAACCUCGGGCCUGCAGUGGGUACGGGCAGACUAGAGUGCGGUAGGGGAGAUUGGAAUUCCUGGUGUAGCGGUGGAAUGCGCAGAUAUCAGGAGGAACACCGAUGGCGAAGGCAGAUCUCUGGGCCGUAACUGACGCUGAGGAGCGAAAGGGUGGGGAGCAAACAGGCUUAGAUACCCUGGUAGUCCACCCCGUAAACGUUGGGAACUAGUUGUGGGGUCCAUUCCACGGAUUCCGUGACGCAGCUAACGCAUUAAGUUCCCCGCCUGGGGAGUACGGCCGCAAGGCUAAAACUCAAAGGAAUUGACGGGGACCCGCACAAGCGGCGGAGCAUGCGGAUUAAUUCGAUGCAACGCGAAGAACCUUACCAAGGCUUGACAUAUACGAGAACGGGCCAGAAAUGGUCAACUCUUUGGACACUCGUAAACAGGUGGUGCAUGGUUGUCGUCAGCUCGUGUCGUGAGAUGUUGGGUUAAGUCCCGCAACGAGCGCAACCCUCGUUCUAUGUUGCCAGCACGUAAUGGUGGGAACUCAUGGGAUACUGCCGGGGUCAACUCGGAGGAAGGUGGGGAUGACGUCAAAUCAUCAUGCCCCUUAUGUCUUGGGCUUCACGCAUGCUACAAUGGCCGGUACAAAGGGCUGCAAUACCGUGAGGUGGAGCGAAUCCCAAAAAGCCGGUCCCAGUUCGGAUUGAGGUCUGCAACUCGACCUCAUGAAGUCGGAGUCGCUAGUAAUCGCAGAUCAGCAACGCUGCGGUGAAUACGUUCCCGGGUCUUGUACACACCGCCCG
Molecule: ribosomal RNA, 1242 nt
Filed under: bacterium CYSHGTGPM05-31
Lineage: Bacteria
Description: bacterial SSU rRNA
Rfam family: Bacterial small subunit ribosomal RNA
Source: RNAcentral